Molecule: ribosomal RNA, 433 nt
Filed under: uncultured bacterium
Lineage: Bacteria
Description: partial 16S ribosomal RNA
Rfam family: Bacterial small subunit ribosomal RNA
Source: RNAcentral
AACGAACGCUGGCGGCAUGCCUAACACAUGCAAGUCGAACGAGACCUUCGGGUCUAGUGGCGCACGGGUGCGUAACGCGUGGGAACCUGCCCUUAGGUUCGGCAUAACUCCCCGACAGGGGUGCUAAUACCGGAUAAUGUCUUCGGACCAAAGAUUUAUCGCCUUUGGAUGGGCCCGCGUUGGAUUAGCUAGUUGGUAGGGUAAAAGCCUACCAAGGCGACGAUCCAUAGCUGGUCUGAGAGGAUGAUCAGCCACACUGGGACUGAGACACGGCCCAGACUCCUACGGGAGGCAGCAGUGGGGAAUAUUGGACAAUGGGCGAAAGCCUGAUCCAGCAAUGCCGCGUGAGUGAUGAAGGCCUUAGGGUUGUAAAGCUCUUUUACCCGGGAUGAUAAUGACAGUACCGGGAGAAUAAGCUCCGGCUAACUCCGUG